RNAcentral lists this long non-coding RNA (699 nucleotides) under Cavia porcellus (domestic guinea pig). RNAcentral describes it as "lncRNA (ENSCPOG00000040412.1)". Lineage: Eukaryota; Metazoa; Chordata; Mammalia; Rodentia; Caviidae. The record is from RNAcentral.
CAGGGGUGGUGGUGGGGCUUCCUGGAGUGCUGCUCGGCACCCGGCUUCCCUCGCGGCGGGGCGGAGGUCGCAGCUCCCCGGCGGAUUCCGGUGUGCCCGCUCCCGCGGAUGCUUGGGCCUGGGAGGUGGAGGAGAGCAGAGGGGCCCAGACCGCGAGAUCGACGGGACGCCAAGCGCAGUGCUGUCCCUUCCCGCCUGGGGGCGCGAGCGUGGGGAGCUGCUCAGCCCAAAGACACUACAGAGAUCAGCUGGGAGGAUAACUCUGCACACUGGAAAGGAAGUUGUAGUCAAGGCUGAAGGGGAAGAAGGAGGAAGUGGCCGUGAGGCACACAUUUGCUGUACAUAAUGAUGACAUUCAUCAUAAUAAAAGAGCUAUUUUAAGUUGAUCCACAUACUACAGCUAAACUGAACUUGGAGGAGCUCCUUCGCUAUCUUUGGCAUGUGUCUCUUGGAAAGCGCCUCCUCCUCAAGACUGCGGGAAGGAAGACUCCGCUGGGGAUGGGAGAGGGAGACCGAGUGGCUGUGCUCCUGGAGUCCGUGUCGGCACACUGAGCAGUCCUGUCAGGAACAGCAAAGCAGACUCAGAACCACAGCAGGGACCAGGUGAGGUGUGCUUGGAUGUUAUAGUUGAUGAUACACAGGCACAUUUUUUUUAAGUUCUUGAAUUUGCUUAUUUAAUGGCUUCACUGAACAUUCUUA